CACUUUAACACUGUCUCAUCCUAUGAUUAUAGCAAAGAGUAUGUGGGCUAUAACAUGUGGGCUAUAACACUUCGCUGCCCAUUGUGUAAGUUGGUGCCGGUGGUACUGUCAACAUGAAAUCCAGUGGUGCUGCUCUGUUCACAAGGAACAAUCCCUUUCCGCCAGACCCACCUCUGGGAAAAACACAUUUACAACCCCUCACGCACCAAGAAGCUUCCAAAGCAACAGAGGAAAACCACCCUGAACGAUGUUGGCCUUGCCCAGCUGUCCAGCCCUCCUCCUCUCCAGACACACUCACUGUGCCCAUCGGACCCGUGCUUCCUUGGGGCAGCCAACCACUUUGUCCUCUGUCCUCCUCCUGCCACUAGGCCCAGUCUAGUUUUUAAGAGUCCUGGCCCUCCACUGAUCUUGUGUCCUCCCCGGCCAACACUGCCACCUCCCCGAACACAGACACACUGACAUAGGACCCAACAUCGGGAAAGUCCCUGGUUUCCACUGGGGGAGGAGAGAAGGAAGAUUCAGUGUUGGCAAAGUACAUUGAACGCUUUCGUCACGGAAGGCCGCAGAGUCGAGAGGAACGUCUGCAAACGUCGGCAAUGGUGGGAGAGGGCCAGCAGCCUUUCUGGUGGCUUUCCUCCUCCUCUCUACCCUCCAGUUCUACACCCACUCAAACCACUGACAAAGGAAAGAAGUCAAGAAUGUAAGGACAAAUCCAUCUAACAACCCAAAUAGCACCAUCAAAAUGAAAUCUAUAUACUGGAUGAAUAUGUACAGC
Oncorhynchus tshawytscha (Chinook salmon) is the source of this 775-nucleotide long non-coding RNA. The record is from Ensembl. NCBI's taxonomy places the organism in Eukaryota, Metazoa, Chordata, Actinopteri, Salmoniformes, Salmonidae.